This 478-nucleotide ribosomal RNA is filed under the name Drosophila kanekoi. RNAcentral describes it as "partial 16S ribosomal RNA". It matches the Rfam family "Bacterial large subunit ribosomal RNA", at positions 1846 to 2582 of the family's 2925-position model. The record is from RNAcentral. Lineage: Eukaryota; Metazoa; Arthropoda; Insecta; Diptera; Drosophilidae.
UAAAGUCUAACCUGCCCACUGAAAAUUUUUAAAUGGCCGCAGUAUUUUAACUGUGCAAAGGUAGCAUAAUCAUUAGUCUUUUAAUUGAAGGCUGGAAUGAAUGGUUUGACGAGAUAUUAACUGUUUCAUUUAAAUUUUUUAUAGAAUUUUAUUUUUUAGUCAAAAAGCUAAAAUUUAUUUAAAAGACGAGAAGACCCUAUAAAUCUUUAUAUUUUAUUUAUUUUAAUUAUAAAGAUUAUUUUUAUUAUAAUAAAAUGAAAUAUUUUAUUGGGGUGAUAUUAAAAUUUAAAAAACUUUUAAUGAUUUAAAUCAUUAAUGUAUGAAUAUUUGAUCCGUUAUUACGGAUAAAAAAUUUAAGUUACUUUAGGGAUAACAGCGUAAUUUUUUUGGAGAGUUCAUAUCGAUAAAAAAGAUUGCGACCUCGAUGUUGGAUUAAGAUAUAAUUUUGGGUGUAGCCGUUCAAAUUUUAAGUCUGUUC